This 469-nucleotide ribosomal RNA is filed under the name uncultured bacterium. Its description in RNAcentral is "bacterial SSU rRNA". It matches the Rfam family "Bacterial small subunit ribosomal RNA", at positions 28 to 485 of the family's 1533-position model. The record is from RNAcentral.
GACGAACGCUGGCGGCGUGCUUAACACAUGCAUGUCGAACGGUGACGAGGAGCUUGCUCCUCUGAUCAGUGGCGAACGGGUGAGUAACACGUGAGCAACCUGCCCCAGACUCUGGGAUAACAGUUGGAAACAGCUGCUAAUACCGGAUACGAGACGGAGAGGCAUCUCUACCGUCUGGAAAGUUUUUCGGUCUGGGAUGGACUCGCGGCCUAUCAGCUAGUUGGUGAGGUAAUGGCUCACCAAGGCGACGACGGGUAGCCGGCCUGAGAGGGCGACCGGCCACACUGGACUGAGACACGGCCCAGACUCCUACGGGAGGCAGCAGUGGGGAAUAUUGCACAAUGGGCGCAAGCCUGAUCCAGCCAUGCCGCGUGAGUGAAGAAGGCCUCGGUUGUAAGUACGUCUUUCGGUCCGGGAACGGAAAGUACGUGGUCGUCUAACAUAGGCCAUGUAUGACGGUACCGGACGU